Molecule: long non-coding RNA, 878 nt
Organism: Melopsittacus undulatus (budgerigar)
Lineage: Eukaryota; Metazoa; Chordata; Aves; Psittaciformes; Psittaculidae
Exons: 3
Source: RefSeq, a predicted model, not a curated record
ACAGGGCGAGCCUCCGAGUCACCACAGCAGGAACAGCAACGGCACAACGCUUCCCUCCGCCACCUCCAUAGAGAGCCGGCUCGCUGCCGCGUCUAAGGCGCACCGAGCCAGCCCCACUAACUUUAUUACCGUUCACGCAACCUACCCCACCUUCCUCUACCGUCCUCCAAUCGCCGCUCAGGGCUCCGCCCGCUUUGCCAAUCACAGCCGAGAAAGGGGGUGGCCUUAACGCCCAAGUGGGCAGAGGAGGGAGGAAGUUUGGUUGAACUGUACCAUCGCCGCAGUGCAGCAUCUGAAUUCCUGAAAGCCGUUACGCCACGUUGUUGGCGAUGGGGUGUAGAAAGGAAGGGAGACUUGCGCAAGUGGCGUAGCCUCUUAAUGGCGGCAGCUUGGAUGCGUCUUGCUCUCACUCUUUAGGUCCUGUGCUUCAGCCUUCAGAGAGCUGCACUUCUAGAGGCCUAGAGUUUUUUAUGACUCAUAAUUCAGAUGACUGGGAGAAAGUGAUCCAGGUAGUAACUCUUGAACCAUAUACACAGCAAGUCCAAACAAAUGAUACUGCAGAACUUGGACUUCCCAGAGCCAACCUCGUUCCUAAUGCUUUCAACACACUGUGCCACAAUGUCCGAUGGGUUAUAUAAGACAUAAAGGGUGCUGUCAUGCAGGAGUUAUGUUGCAUCUCAUCUGGAGUGAAGGCUGUUCAAGUCAUAUUACUGCAAGAGCUUGGACCUUGGAUGUGAAUCUGCAAGAACAGAACUGUCUGGAUAUCAGUCAAAAUCAAUGGAAUCCAGUUUGAAAGACGGAGUCAAUAGGCACAGAGAAAGCAGCAAAGUCAAGAUUUAAGCCAAUAUUAAACCCAGUUGAUAUUGAACAAAACCUUC